UACGUAGGGUGCUAGCGUUGUUCGGAAUCAUUGGGCGUAAAGCGCGUGUAGGCGGUUAGUUAAGUCGAUUGUGAAAUCCCUGGGCUUAACCGAGGAAGUGCAUUCGAAACUAACUGGCUAGAAUACGGUAGAGGAAGGUGGAAUUCCGAGUGUAGAGGUGAAAUUCGUAGAUAUUCGGAGGAACACCAGUGGCGAAGGCGGCUCACUGGCUCGACACUGACGCUGAGGUGCGAAAGCGUGGGGAGCAAACAGG
RNAcentral lists this ribosomal RNA (253 nucleotides) under uncultured bacterium. RNAcentral's name for it is "partial 16S ribosomal RNA". It matches the Rfam family "Bacterial small subunit ribosomal RNA", at positions 524 to 776 of the family's 1533-position model. The record is from RNAcentral.